UAGGUAGCAAAUGAAGAGUUUCAGCUUAAAAGAAGAUGCAUAUUUUCAGCUUCGAUUUGAGCAACUGGAAUGCAGUUCAGGUGAUGCAAAAGAAAAAAAUUCGUCAUUACUCACUGUUCGGGACCCGUCAUUAACACACAAAAACCCUCGAUACCGAGGCUAGGGUUACUAAUUAUGCAAUUUAUAACUAUAUUUCUAAUUUAUACAUGAUGUUUUGCUUUAAUUUUCUGAUUUUUGAUAGGUCAUAUUCCUUAAUUCAUAUAGAACCUAACAAGAUGAGGAGGGGCUUUGCUCGGAUGGUCGACCUUCAGAGUGUUCAGUAAGUAAAAUAUCUGAAUAAAGGUAACUUAAUUUCUAAAAUAUGAAAUUGUUGUAGGGAGUUUGAUGGUUCAUUAGUUUGGUUAAGGUUUCAUUUGAUUUGAUGAUGUAGAUGCUAUAUCAAAAUUAGAUGAAGCAUUGUCAAUUGAUCCACAGAAAUAUGAUGCCUUGUGGUGUAUGGGCAAUGGGCAAACUUCUUAUGCUUUUUAACUCCUGAUAAAGAUGAAGCUAAGGGUUAUUUAGAUCUGACUUAAUACUUUUUUCAGCAAGCUGUUGAAGAGGUAUUCAUGUUUGAAAACUUAGUUUGAUACUAUAAUUGUCGUAACCAUCAUCAUUCUUGCAAGGGAGAUCGAAAUUGGAGUUGAUGGUAACUACUUAUUUGAGUUCAUUAUUCCUUUAUCAUCAGCAUUUUAUCGCCAUUAAUGGCGGUCGAUGCAGUUGCAAAGUGAAGGGACCAAAACGGUUCAUGUAAGUUACUCGAGGGGUAGUAUUGAAUUAGAAUUUUAAAAAAGGUUGAUUACAAAUUUACAAAUAUGAGAUAUGUACCCUAUCGCCCAUAUAUAUUUAUUAAUACAAUUAGAAUAUUACGUGCCUUCCGUACGAAGAGUUUAAACGAGUAGGGCACAUGUUGGAUGAAUGUAAUUAUACUUUCCAGGGAAUUAGUAUAUUCAAUGUUUGAUAGUCACAAUGAAGGAAAAAUUGUUUAAUUUUAUAUUGUUGUUUAAUUUUAAACCUGGGUUUUAUGUGAAUAUUGUUUUAGAAUUCAGACUUGCUGAUUUAUUUUGGACCGGGGAGUUGCCUCAUUGUUUUGAUUCACCUAGAAUUUUAAUUCAUUGAUGCUUUGUGGAUCUAUAGUCUGGCUGGGUUGUAAUAUUUGUUAAUCAUACACAUAAUUAUUACAGUUUCAAAAUUUUAUAGAUGAUUAUUUUGUUUCUAUUUAUUGUAAUUUAUGUGAUCUUUAACAUUUUUUGUAGAUAGAUUCAUGUUUGUCUUCUACUUGUAUCUUUUAGUUUAGUAUCUUCAUUGGCUGAUUUUUAACAGAAUGUCCCCAAAACUGGAAAUGUGGAAGGCUUAUCUUUCGACUAUAAUCUAUGUAAAGCAGUUGCCACAUGGGAGCAGAAUGGACUCAAUUUACUAAAGGAACGGUUUUGGCAACUUGAAGAUCUUCAAAGGGACUCGACUAUCUUUAAAAUGUAUUUCCAUUUGUCACUAAUUUACGUAACAUGACACUUUGGUUGUAUUUUAUUUUAUUUUUACCUUAGCCAUUGAAAAGUGAUUAUCUCAUCUAUAAUUAAGAUAGGAUAAGUAGCUGUGAUAGAAAUUUGGUAGAAAAUUGUG
Long non-coding RNA from Helianthus annuus (common sunflower), 1656 nucleotides. RefSeq lists it as uncharacterized. Lineage: Eukaryota; Viridiplantae; Streptophyta; Magnoliopsida; Asterales; Asteraceae. The transcript has 3 exons. The record is from RefSeq and is a predicted model, not a curated record.